This 96-nucleotide transfer RNA is filed under the name Aspergillus arachidicola. It matches the Rfam family "tRNA". Rfam says of the family: Transfer RNA (tRNA) molecules are approximately 80 nucleotides in length. The record is from Rfam by way of RNAcentral. Lineage: Eukaryota; Fungi; Ascomycota; Eurotiomycetes; Eurotiales; Aspergillaceae.
GGCAAGGUGGUCGAGUGGUUAAGACGUAAGACUUGAAUCCACAAUGGAUGUUAUCUUAUCCCUUCGGGGUCGCGCGUUCAAAUCGCGUCCUUGUCG